This 544-nucleotide unclassified non-coding RNA is filed under the name Fusarium oxysporum. Its description in RNAcentral is "sequence contains 18S rRNA gene, ITS1, 5.8S rRNA gene, ITS2, 28S rRNA gene". The stretch from base 191 to 344 matches the Rfam family "5.8S ribosomal RNA". The record is from RNAcentral. Lineage: Eukaryota; Fungi; Ascomycota; Sordariomycetes; Hypocreales; Nectriaceae.
GUAACAAGGUCUCCGUUGGUGAACCAGCGGAGGGAUCAUUACCGAGUUUACAACUCCCAAACCCCUGUGAACAUACCACUUGUUGCCUCGGCGGAUCAGCCCGCUCCCGGUAAAACGGGACGGCCCGCCAGAGGACCCCUAAAACUCUGUUUCUAUAUGUAACUUCUGAGUAAAACCAUAAAUAAAUCAAAACUUUCAACAACGGAUCUCUUGGUUCUGGCAUCGAUGAAGAACGCAGCAAAAUGCGAUAAGUAAUGUGAAUUGCAGAAUUCAGUGAAUCAUCGAAUCUUUGAACGCACAUUGCGCCCGCCAGUAUUCUGGCGGGCAUGCCUGUUCGAGCGUCAUUUCAACCCUCAAGCACAGCUUGGUGUUGGGACUCGCGUUAAUUCGCGUUCCUCAAAUUGAUUGGCGGUCACGUCGAGCUUCCAUAGCGUAGUAGUAAAACCCUCGUUACUGGUAAUCGUCGCGGCCACGCCGUUAAACCCCAACUUCUGAAUGUUGACCUCGGAUCAGGUAGGAAUACCCGCUGAACCUAAGCAUAUCA